Molecule: long non-coding RNA, 714 nt
Organism: Silurus meridionalis
Lineage: Eukaryota; Metazoa; Chordata; Actinopteri; Siluriformes; Siluridae
Exons: 4
Source: RefSeq, a predicted model, not a curated record
AAGAGCAACGCCGGCAAGCAGCUGAACACAGUGUGAAUCACCGUCAGGAGAUUAAAAUGAGUGGAAAUGUUUCCGUGUGUGAGAAACCGCUAUGGUAAUGGCGCGCGCACACAAAUCACCUCAGAACAGAGUAACGGAGGACUGAGGACCUGAAGUUUCCUAGUAGAACAUCACUCAGAGCAUCACACAAGAUCUACUGGCUCCCAAGUCAGACGUGAGCCCCUUUUAUGCUCAGGGACGCACAAUAUAAUCACCUCACACUAGAGGGUGCUGUGGGGAUUUCAGUCACUCAGGUGAUGAAAGAUGGAACUCCAGCAGGUCAGGUGGUAAAGAAUCAAGGUACAUGUGCUUUUGGUAUCUUCUGGGGUUGUGUUUGAUUUUGUUGUGUUUGAUUUUAUGUAUGAAAUGAGAAUCUGCUUCAGAAUGGAACAUUUCUGCUUUAAAAAGUUUGAAAGGUUCAUUUUUGAGGAACAAUAUCUGAUUAACAGGUAAAUACAUGAUGAGUUUAAUGUAAUAAGAUGAAUAAUACUGAGUCUUAAUGUUAUUUAGACAACAGUUGUGUACAUUAACUCUUUGUACUGUAUAUAUAUAAAUAAUAAGUGUAGAAUCAAAGCAUUUGGGAAGCGUCUUACAUGCUAAGAUCGGGAGAGCUCAGAAACAGGAGCCAGAUUCUGGAGGUCAUGGUCAUGUUUGGGUUGAGAUGUUUUUUUCUAC